Molecule: long non-coding RNA, 679 nt
Organism: Hipposideros armiger (great roundleaf bat)
Lineage: Eukaryota; Metazoa; Chordata; Mammalia; Chiroptera; Hipposideridae
Exons: 3
Source: RefSeq, a predicted model, not a curated record
GGGAGCGCACCCCGACUUUCCUAGAUCACAUGGGCUACGGCGGGGCGGGUGGAUCCGGGGAGGGAGAGGCGCGGGGAGGUAGCUGCAGAUCCUCAGUCGGGCCAGGGAGAAGACGCCCCCCACCCCCGUUAGUUCGGCCUCUCCAUUCAAGUUCGCCGGCCGCGGUCGCCGGGAUCCGAGGAUGGCACCAGACGCCCGCCCGCCUCUGCGCCCUUUUUCUAGUCACCGCGCAGAAAUUUAGGUCAAGGACGUCGGGAUCAAACCCAAACCCUGGCGCUCCUCGAGCGGACCCCGAGACCCCCCAGGAUCGGGGGGCUUCAGGAUUGCGGAGACCCUCUCACACAGACACCAGCCACAAGUUUUAUUUUCCUUUCGCUCUGGAAGUUCUCUUUGGCUCUCGCUCCACACCGGCACGUCUUGCGCCGCUCCCCGCCCUUCCCCGGCAGAGGUCUGUUGUCCGAGGUUCCUGGGACUCACAUCUACCACAUCUUGGUUUGGUGGAUUGUAUCCAUCCACGUAUGUUUUGUAUUUUGGCGCUGGGACUGUAUUUUUAUCUUCAUUUUCCACCUUCAGGGUUCCUGAACCAUACAGAAUAUGGAGGAAACGAUGGUGAGUGAAUUCUGAGGCCAGGUCAUAGAAGGCACUGUGGCUGCUACCUCUCUGGAUCACUUGCUUUGGG